Oncorhynchus keta (chum salmon) is the source of this 976-nucleotide long non-coding RNA. RefSeq lists it as uncharacterized. The transcript is spliced from 4 exons. Lineage: Eukaryota; Metazoa; Chordata; Actinopteri; Salmoniformes; Salmonidae. The record is from RefSeq and is a predicted model, not a curated record.
CAGAGACUGACUUCUACAGAGGCAAGAGCCUCAUGUAAAUGUGUUGACUCUGAUGCAUGGUGCAUCCCAUAGAGACAACCCUGUAUCCUGUAGGCUCGGAUACUGUCCUCUCAUAGCAAGGUUCCACUCUGAUGCAUGGUGCAUCCCAUAGAGACAACCCUGUAUCCUGUAGGCUCGGAUACUGUCCUCUCAUAGCAAGGUUCCACUCUGAUGCAUGGUGCAUCCCAUAGAGACAACCCUGUAUCCUGUAGGCUCGGAUACUGUCCUCUCAUAGCAAGGUUCCACUCUGUCCUCUCAUAGCAAGGUUCCACUCUGAUGCAUGGUGCAUCCCAUAGAGACAACCCUGUAUCCUGUAGGCUCGGAUACUGUCCUCUCAUAGCAAGGUUCCACUCUGAUGCAUGGUGCAUCCCAUAGAGACAACCCUGUAUCCUGUAGGCUCGGAUACUGUCCUCUCACAGUAAGGUUCCACUCUGAUGCAUGGUGCAUCCCAUAGAGACAACCCUGUAUCCUGUAGGCUCGGAUACUGUCCUCUCACAGUAAGGUUCCACUCUGAUGCAUGGUGCAUCCCAUAGAGACAACCCUGUAUCCUGCAGGCUCGGAUACUGUCCUCUCACAGUAAGGUUCCACUCUGAUGGACAGAUGGUGGUGACUGUUACUCACAUUACAGCCAGUGACACAACGACCAGCUAGACAGACUGCAUCCCCACAGGGCUCUGGUCAAAAGUAGUGCACUAUCUAGGGAAUAGGGUGGUGUUUUGGAGGGACCCUAUAAAUCACUACAGCAAAUGCAUGUCAUACCCUAGCGGUCGUACGUACUGUACCUAAUAGGACCAUUUAUUAUUAUUAUGUUAAUUGACAUGGAAUUUCAUGGGUUUUUUUAUUAUCGUUUUAACAGAAAAACAAUAAAACAAUGACUGUUUAAACGUUAAGAAAUUCCAUUCCAUUGGUCACACCCCUACUUGGGAUAUAAUUUUUC